Vicia faba (fava bean) is the source of this 255-nucleotide non-coding RNA. NCBI's taxonomy places the organism in Eukaryota, Viridiplantae, Streptophyta, Magnoliopsida, Fabales, Fabaceae. The record is from the annotation of a GenBank genome assembly.
AUGAAGAAACCCAGAGGAGUGGUCUUCAAGGUCCAGGAUAUGGAUUCGGAAGCAGAUAAAAAGUUGGCACCAAUGAUUAGGAGUGAAUUUGGGUCAGCUGGAACUAGACUGACUUUGUUGUGCAAAUACUAUAAAGUGAAUUUUAACAAAUCCGAAGACAUUCAUAAGUAUUUCACACAAUAUAGAGUUGAUAUUUGGUAUAGAAAUAUAUUGAACAUCUCUUGGACGAAUACUCGAAAAAAUAUAAAGUUGUAA